Molecule: ribosomal RNA, 439 nt
Filed under: uncultured bacterium
Lineage: Bacteria
Description: bacterial SSU rRNA
Rfam family: Bacterial small subunit ribosomal RNA
Source: RNAcentral
UGGGGAAUCUUGGACAAUGGGGGCAACCCUGAUCCAGCCAUGCCGCGUGAGUGAUGAAGGCCUUAGGGUUGUAAAACUCUUUCAGGGGGUGAAGAUAAUGACGGUAACCCCAGAAGAAGCACCGGCUAACUACGUGCCAGCAGCCGCGGUAAUACGUAGGGUGCAAGCGUUGUCCGGAAUUAUUGGGCGUAAAGAGCUCGUAGGCGGUCCGUUGCGUCUGCCGUGAAAACCCGGAGCUCAACUCCGGGCCUGCGGUGGAUACGGGCGGACUAGAGUCCGGUAGGGGAGACUGGAAUUCCUGGUGUAGCGGUGGAAUGCGCAGAUAUCAGGAGGAACACCGGUGGCGAAGGCGGGUCUCUGGGCCGGAACUGACGCUGAGGAGCGAAAGCGUGGGGAGCGAACAGGAUUAGAUACCCUGGUAGUCCACGCCGUAAACGGU